Thunnus maccoyii (southern bluefin tuna) is the source of this 1305-nucleotide long non-coding RNA. RefSeq lists it as uncharacterized. The transcript has 4 exons. The record is from RefSeq and is a predicted model, not a curated record. Lineage: Eukaryota; Metazoa; Chordata; Actinopteri; Scombriformes; Scombridae.
UUUUAUGAGAAUAAAACGAGUGAGAUUUAAAGUUUAUGCUCUUUCUUUGAUACUAUUAUGUAACACAUUUUUCGUUCCUGGGUAGUAAGUGUUACUUCCUAAUUGCUUAUGCCUAAAAAGUGUACAAUAUGGCUGUUAUUCCCUUCAAACUUUGCUUUUGUGAUCUGGAUAAUGAUAUUUUGAAAUCUACCUAUUUCCAAUGGGCAAGCAGGCGAUUUUGCACAUUUUCAUUCACAUAAAGUCAGAAAAAAAACAACACGUGAACCAAAGUCAUCUGUAUAAAGGUGUGCAAAACAAUUGCAAGAGCAACUUAGUUUCAGAAAGAUAGGCGUGAAGGAGAAAGACAAAAUAAUAUCAAGCUAAACCUAUAUCAUUUGGAUCACAUUUACGAUAUUUAAGGCAUAUUUUAGCUGGACCUGCCUCCCUCCCCCGCCCCUUCCCCCACGCCCCUUCCCAGGUGUUUCUGGGAAAAAAACUUCAAUUUAGAGCAUCUCUUCAACAGGAGACCGACCACCGAGAAUCGGCUGUCAAGACGAAGUUUGACAUUUCAGCUAGCGUCAGUCGAGCCCGUCGUCACGGCAUGAGUUGGUACAUGGCGUAGAGGCAGCAAAGUUGACAAGAGAGCAGGAAAAGACAAGAGGGUGGAGCGAGCAGUGGGGGUGUGUAAGAAAGUGAUGGCUGCCUUCACUUUCUCCUGAAAGAAGAGAGACAUGGCGAUUGCCCAGGAGGAGCAUCACCUACCCCAAUACAAGCUGGUGAAGGAGUCGCUUUUUCUGUUUUUGUAUAUGUUCUCCGUUUACAUUUGAAAGCUGCUUGAAUUUGUACUGAGGAUAUAUUCAGAAUGUUUUUUGUUUUUUGUCUAUUUAUUUGUGGGUUUGUUUUCCAACAAUUUAAAACAGUUUUAAUAUAUACAAAGGAUACAGUGAGGUAGUUGUUUUUUUUAUAGAUUUUAUUUUGUGUUAUUACCUACUUUAUUUAUUUGGAACUGACCAAAGAAUUUAGUUUGUGUUCUCCCGAAAACCUGAAAGCUUUUGACUGGUCAGAUUUGAGACUUUUCUAUUUUGUAUUACUUUUGUUUGAUUGUUUGUUUGUUUGUUUGUUUUAUUUGUAACUGACCAAAUAAUUUAGUUGUCCAUUUUGUCUGUGUUCUCCUUUAACACUUGAAGCUUCUGACUGGUAAGAAUUAAGAUUUUAGUUUAUUAUAUAAUCAUUUUAUUUAUUUGAAAUACAGUUCUACAGUGUUCUACAGUACAUUUGAUAUGUUAAACUUCUGACAGAAAAUAAAUAAUAUUUAAACCAAUAUUA